UAAUUACUCCCUCCGUCCGGAAAUACUUGUCAUCUAAAUGUAUAAAAAGGGAUGUAUCUAGAUGUAUUUUAGUUCUAGAUACAUAUCUUUCUAUCCAUUUUGAUGACAAGUAUUUUCGGACGGAGGGAGUAAUAC
This is a non-coding RNA of Triticum aestivum (bread wheat), 135 nucleotides long. NCBI's taxonomy places the organism in Eukaryota, Viridiplantae, Streptophyta, Magnoliopsida, Poales, Poaceae. The record is from Rfam.